RNAcentral lists this unclassified non-coding RNA (309 nucleotides) under Hevea brasiliensis (rubber tree). The record is from RNAcentral. Lineage: Eukaryota; Viridiplantae; Streptophyta; Magnoliopsida; Malpighiales; Euphorbiaceae.
GCAUCAGUUAUCCAGAGCAUAUUAGAUAAUGUAGUCCUGCCAAAAUUGUCUACUGCUGUGGAUUUGUGGGACCCUCGUCGGGAAACUGUUCCAAUCCAUGUUUGGGUGCAUCCAUGGCUGCCGCAGUUGGGACAGAGAUUGGAGUAUUUAUACGAGAAGAUACGUAUGAAGUUGUCUAUGGUUCUUGGUGCUUGGCACCCUAGUGAUACGUCUGCUUAUGCUAUAUUGUCCCCUUGGAAAACUGUGUUUGAUUCAGCUAGUUGGGAAAAUCUUAUGCGCAAAUUUAUAGUUCCUAAGUUGGAGGUUGCA